Molecule: ribosomal RNA, 460 nt
Filed under: uncultured bacterium
Lineage: Bacteria
Description: partial 16S ribosomal RNA
Rfam family: Bacterial small subunit ribosomal RNA
Source: RNAcentral
CCUACGUGGCGCUGCAGUGAGGAAUAUUGGUCAAUGGGCGCGAGCCUGAACCAGCCAAGUAGCGUGAAGGAUGACUGCCCUACGGGUUGUCAACUUCUUUUAUAAAGGAAUAAAGUGAGGCCCGUGUGCCUUUUUGUAUGUACUUUAUGAAUACGGAUCGGCUAACUCCGUGCCAGCAGCCGCGGUAAUACGGAGGAUCCGAGCUUUAUCCGGAUUUAUGGGGUUUAAAGGGAGCGUAGAUGGGUUGUUAAGUCAGUUGUGAAAGUUUGCGGCUCAACCGUAAAAGUGCAAUUGAUACUGGCAGUCUUGAGUACAGUUGAGGUAGGCGGAAUUCGUGGUGUAGCGGUGAAAUGCUUAGAUAUCACGAAGAACUCCGAUUGCGAAGGCAGCUUACUAAACUGCCACUGACAUUGAUGCUCGAAAGUGUGGGUAUCAAACAGGAUUAGAUACCCUGGUAGUC